This 1962-nucleotide ribosomal RNA is filed under the name human gut metagenome. Its description in RNAcentral is "bacterial LSU rRNA". It matches the Rfam family "Bacterial large subunit ribosomal RNA", at positions 1 to 1990 of the family's 2925-position model. The record is from RNAcentral.
UUAAGCGACUAAGCGUACACGGUGGAUGCCCUGGCAGUCAGAGGCGAUGAAGGACGUGCUAAUCUGCGAUAAGCGUCGGUAAGGUGAUAUGAACCGUUAUAACCGGCGAUUUCCGAAUGGGGAAACCCAGUGUGUUUCGACACACUAUCAUUAACUGAAUCCAUAGGUUAAUGAGGCGAACCGGGGGAACUGAAACAUAUAAGUACCCCGAGGAAAAGAAAUCAACCGAGAUUCCCCCAGUAGCGGCGAGCGAACGGGGAGGAGCCCAGAGCCUGAAUCAGUGUGUGUGUUAGUGGAAGCGUCUGGAAAGGCGCGCGAUACAGGGUGACAGCCCCGUACACAAAAAUGCACAUGCUGUGAGCUCGAUGAGUAGGGCGGGACACGUGGUAUCCUGUCUGAAUAUGGGGGGACCAUCCUCCAAGGCUAAAUACUCCUGACUGACCGAUAGUGAACCAGUACCGUGAGGGAAAGGCGAAAAGAACCCCGGCGAGGGGAGUGAAAAAGAACCUGAAACCGUGUACGUACAAGCAGUGGGAGCACGCUUAGGCGUGUGACUGCGUACCUUUUGUAUAAUGGGUCAGCGACUUAUAUUCUGUAGCAAGGUUAACCGAAUAGGGGAGCCGAAGGGAAACCGAGUCUUAACUGGGCGUUAAGUUGCAGGGUAUAGACCCGAAACCCGGUGAUCUAGCCAUGGGCAGGUUGAAGGUUGGGUAACACUAACUGGAGGACCGAACCGACUAAUGUUGAAAAAUUAGCGGAUGACUUGUGGCUGGGGGUGAAAGGCCAAUCAAACCGGGAGAUAGCUGGUUCUCCCCGAAAGCUAUUUAGGUAGCGCCUCGUGAAUUCAUCUCCGGGGGUAGAGCACUGUUUCGGCAAGGGGGUCAUCCCGACUUACCAACCCGAUGCAAACUGCGAAUACCGGAGAAUGUUAUCACGGGAGACACACGGCGGGUGCUAACGUCCGUCGUGAAGAGGGAAACAACCCAGACCGCCAGCUAAGGUCCCAAAGUCAUGGUUAAGUGGGAAACGAUGUGGGAAGGCCCAGACAGCCAGGAUGUUGGCUUAGAAGCAGCCAUCAUUUAAAGAAAGCGUAAUAGCUCACUGGUCGAGUCGGCCUGCGCGGAAGAUGUAACGGGGCUAAACCAUGCACCGAAGCUGCGGCAGCGACGCUGAUGCGUUGUUGGGUAGGGGAGCGUUCUGUAAGCCUGCGAAGGUGUGCUGUGAGGCAUGCUGGAGGUAUCAGAAGUGCGAAUGCUGACAUAAGUAACGAUAAAGCGGGUGAAAAGCCCGCUCGCCGGAAGACCAAGGGUUCCUGUCCAACGUUAAUCGGGGCAGGGUGAGUCGACCCCUAAGGCGAGGCCGAAAGGCGUAGUCGAUGGGAAACAGGUUAAUAUUCCUGUACUUGGUGUUACUGCGAAGGGGGGACGGAGAAGGCUAUGUUGGCCGGGCGACGGUUGUCCCGGUUUAAGCGUGUAGGCUGGUUUUCCAGGCAAAUCCGGAAAAUCAAGGCUGAGGCGUGAUGACGAGGCACUACGGUGCUGAAGCAACAAAUGCCCUGCUUCCAGGAAAAGCCUCUAAGCAUCAGGUAACAUCAAAUCGUACCCCAAACCGACACAGGUGGUCAGGUAGAGAAUACCAAGGCGCUUGAGAGAACUCGGGUGAAGGAACUAGGCAAAAUGGUGCCGUAACUUCGGGAGAAGGCACGCUGAUAUGUAGGUGAAGCGACUUGCUCGUGGAGCUGAAAUCAGUCGAAGAUACCAGCUGGCUGCAACUGUUUAUUAAAAACACAGCACUGUGCAAACACGAAAGUGGACGUAUACGGUGUGACGCCUGCCCGGUGCCGGAAGGUUAAUUGAUGGGGUUAGCGCAAGCGAAGCUCUUGAUCGAAGCCCCGGUAAACGGCGGCCGUAACUAUAACGGUCCUAAGGUAGCGAAAUUCCUUGUCGGGUAAGUUCCGACCUG